GGAUAGCGGAGAAAUUCCAAUCGAACUCGGAGAUAGCUGGUUCUCCUCGAAAUAGUUUUAGGACUAGCCUUGUUUAGUAGUACGUGGGGGUAGAGCACUGAAGGAGCUAGGGGCCAAACCAGGUUACCGAACUCUAUCAAACUCCGAAUACCAUGUAUGUAAGAACAGGAGUCAGACUGUGGGAGCUAAGUUCCAUGGUCAAAAGGGAAAGAGCCCAGAUCGUCAAUUAAGGUCCCAAAGAUAUAGUUAAGUGGAAAACGAUGUGAUUUUGCGUAAACAACCAGGAUGUUGGCUUAGAAGCAGCCAUUCAUUUAAAGAGUGCGUAAUAGCUCACUGGUCGAGUGAAGUUGCGCGGAAAAUUACCGGGGCUAAACUAUACACCGAAAUUGCGGAUUCAUACGUAAGUAUGAGUGGUAGAGGAGCAUUCUGUUGUAGGACGAAGCAUGAUCGAAAGGACAUGUGGACGAAGCAGAAGAGAGAAUGCCGGAAUAAGUAGCGAAAGCAUGGUGAGAAUCCAUGCCAUCGAAAGUCUAAGGUUUCCUGGGGAAGGUUCGUCCGCCCAGGGUAAGUCGGGACCUAAGGUGAGGCCGAAAGGCGUAGCCGAUGGACAGCAGGUAGAAAUUCCUGCACCACCGAUAUACUUAAAAAGCACAAGGGACACAGGAGUGGAAGAGAAGCGAGGAAGAGGAAAAACUCGUAUCGAAAGAUAUAGUGAAAAUAAAGUAACGAAUUCUCAAGAAGCACACUGGCGAGAAAAGCUUGUGAGUAUUGUAUAUAGGUGCCCGUACCGCAAACCGACACAGGUAGAUGAGGAGAAGAUCCUAAGAUGAGCGAGAGAAGCAUUGUUAAGGAACUCGGCAAAUUGACCCCGUAACUUAGGGAGAAGGGGUACCGGUGUAACAGCCGGUCGCAGUGAAUCGGUCCAAGCAACUGUUUAACAAAAACACAGGUUUCUGCUAAAUCGAAAGAUGAAGUAUAGGAGCUGACGCCUGCCCGGUGCUGGAAGGUUAAGGGGAAGGGUUAUUCGAAAGAAGAAGCUUUGAACCAAAGCCCCAGUGAACGGCGGCCGUAACUAUAACGGUCCUAAGGUAGCGAAAUUCCUUGUCAGGUAAGUUCUGACCCGCACGAAAGGCGUAAUGAUUUGGACACUGUCUCGACAAUGUACUCGGCGAAAUUGUAGUACUAGUGAAGAUGCUAGUUACCUGCGACAAGACAGAAAGACCCCAUGGAGCUUUACUGUAGCUUGAUACUGGGUUUCGAUAAUUUAUGUACAGGAUAGGUGGGAGACUAUGAGUCAUAGGCGUCAGCUUAUGAGGAGUCACCCUUGGGAUACCACCCUUAAGUUAUUGAAAUUCUAACCAUUCGUCGUCAACCGGCGAGGGGACAAUGUCAGGUGGGCAGUUUGACUGGGGCGGUCGCCUCCAAAAGAGUAACGGAGGCGCUCAAAGGU
This 1450-nucleotide ribosomal RNA is filed under the name human gut metagenome. RNAcentral describes it as "bacterial LSU rRNA". It matches the Rfam family "Bacterial large subunit ribosomal RNA", at positions 813 to 2317 of the family's 2925-position model. The record is from RNAcentral.